Molecule: non-coding RNA, 27 nt
Filed under: Homo sapiens (human)
Lineage: Eukaryota; Metazoa; Chordata; Mammalia; Primates; Hominidae
Source: RNAcentral
UGAUGACAAAACAAAGGGAGAUGAUAC